Molecule: ribosomal RNA, 1392 nt
Filed under: Streptococcus thermophilus
Lineage: Bacteria; Bacillati; Bacillota; Bacilli; Lactobacillales; Streptococcaceae
Description: bacterial SSU rRNA
Rfam family: Bacterial small subunit ribosomal RNA
Source: RNAcentral
ACGCUGAAGAGAGGAGCUUGCUCUUCUUGGAUGAGUUGCGAACGGGUGAGUAACGCGUAGGUAACCUGCCUUGUAGCGGGGGAUAACUAUUGGAAACGAUAGCUAAUACCGCAUAACAAUGGAUGACACAUGUCAUUUAUUUGAAAGGGGCAAUUGCUCCACUACAAGAUGGACCUGCGUUGUAUUAGCUAGUAGGUGAGGUAAUGGCUCACCUAGGCGACGAUACAUAGCCGACCUGAGAGGGUGAUCGGCCACACUGGGACUGAGACACGGCCCAGACUCCUACGGGAGGCAGCAGUAGGGAAUCUUCGGCAAUGGGGGCAACCCUGACCGAGCAACGCCGCGUGAGUGAAGAAGGUUUUCGGAUCGUAAAGCUCUGUUGUAAGUCAAGAACGGGUGUGAGAGUGGAAAGUUCACACUGUGACGGUAGCUUACCAGAAAGGGACGGCUAACUACGUGCCAGCAGCCGCGGUAAUACGUAGGUCCCGAGCGUUGUCCGGAUUUAUUGGGCGUAAAGCGAGCGCAGGCGGUUUGAUAAGUCUGAAGUUAAAGGCUGUGGCUCAACCAUAGUUCGCUUUGGAAACUGUCAAACUUGAGUGCAGAAGGGGAGAGUGGAAUUCCAUGUGUAGCGGUGAAAUGCGUAGAUAUAUGGAGGAACACCGGUGGCGAAAGCGGCUCUCUGGUCUGUAACUGACGCUGAGGCUCGAAAGCGUGGGGAGCGAACAGGAUUAGAUACCCUGGUAGUCCACGCCGUAAACGAUGAGUGCUAGGUGUUGGAUCCUUUCCGGGAUUCAGUGCCGCAGCUAACGCAUUAAGCACUCCGCCUGGGGAGUACGACCGCAAGGUUGAAACUCAAAGGAAUUGACGGGGGCCCGCACAAGCGGUGGAGCAUGUGGUUUAAUUCGAAGCAACGCGAAGAACCUUACCAGGUCUUGACAUCCCGAUGCUAUUUCUAGAGAUAGAAAGUUACUUCGGUACAUCGGUGACAGGUGGUGCAUGGUUGUCGUCAGCUCGUGUCGUGAGAUGUUGGGUUAAGUCCCGCAACGAGCGCAACCCCUAUUGUUAGUUGCCAUCAUUCAGUUGGGCACUCUAGCGAGACUGCCGGUAAUAAACCGGAGGAAGGUGGGGAUGACGUCAAAUCAUCAUGCCCCUUAUGACCUGGGCUACACACGUGCUACAAUGGUUGGUACAACGAGUUGCGAGUCGGUGACGGCGAGCUAAUCUCUUAAAGCCAAUCUCAGUUCGGAUUGUAGGCUGCAACUCGCCUACAUGAAGUCGGAAUCGCUAGUAAUCGCGGAUCAGCACGCCGCGGUGAAUACGUUCCCGGGCCUUGUACACACCGCCCGUCACACCACGAGAGUUUGUAACACCCGAAGUCGGUGAGGUAACCUU